RNAcentral lists this unclassified non-coding RNA (309 nucleotides) under plant metagenome. RNAcentral's name for it is "partial contains 5.8S ribosomal RNA, internal transcribed spacer 2, and large subunit ribosomal RNA". The stretch from base 1 to 104 matches the Rfam family "5.8S ribosomal RNA", at positions 51 to 154 of the family's 154-position model. The record is from RNAcentral.
AAAUGCGAUAAGUAGUGUGAAUUGCAGAAUUCAGUGAAUCAUCGAAUCUUUGAACGCACAUUGCGCCCCUUGGUAUUCCAUGGGGCAUGCCUGUUCGAGCGUCAUUUGUACCCUCAAGCUCUGCUUGGUGUUGGGUGUUUGUCACCGUCUCCGCGCGUGGACUCGCCCCAAAGUGAUUGGCAGCCGGCGUACUGGUCCCGGAGCGCAGCACAUGUCGCGCAAACGAGUGCCUUGGUACGGCGGCGUCCAUAAGCCCCUCUCUCACGCUCUUGACCUCGGAUCAGGUAGGGAUACCCGCUGAACUUAAGC